This 495-nucleotide ribosomal RNA is filed under the name uncultured bacterium. RNAcentral describes it as "partial 16S ribosomal RNA". It matches the Rfam family "Bacterial small subunit ribosomal RNA", at positions 28 to 507 of the family's 1533-position model. The record is from RNAcentral.
GACGAACGCUGGCGGCGUGCCUAAUACAUGCAAGUAGAACGCUGAAGGAGGAGCUUGCUUCUCUGGAUGAGUUGCGAACGGGUGAGUAACGCGUAGGUAACCUGCCUGGUAGCGGGGGAUAACUAUUGGAAACGAUAGCUAAUACCGCAUAAGAGUAGAUGUUGCAUGACAUUUGCUUAAAAGGUGCAAUUGCAUCACUACCAGAUGGACCUGCGUUGUAUUAGCUAGUUGGUGGGGUAACGGCUUACCAAGGCGACGAUACAUAGCCGACCUGAGAGGGUGAUCGGCCACACUGGGACUGAGACACGGCCCAGACUCCUACGGGAGGCAGCAGUAGGGAAUCUUCGGCAAUGGACGGAAGUCUGACCGAGCAACGCCGCGUGAGUGAAGAAGGUUUUCGGAUAGUAAAGCUCUGUUGUAAGAGAAGAACGAGUGUGAGAGUGGAAAGUUCACACUGUGACGGUAUCUUACCAGAAAGGGACGGCUAACUACGUG